AUGGCUUACCUCUUGGAGAUCCGUCCGAUGCAACUUCGACAGCGAUUACGAAGCAAAAGAAAUCAGAUAGGCGUAUUUUUCUUUUCUCUUAGAUUCACCCUUCUUCUGAUUCAACUGUUACUUCUAUUUUCUAAUUUUUGUGUUGGGAUUAUGGAGGUGAACGAAGUUGGAGAUGCUGGUAAAGAUGAAGCGGUUGUAUAUUACUAUAACUUUGAAAGAUAG
This is a non-coding RNA of Vicia faba (fava bean), 222 nucleotides long. NCBI's taxonomy places the organism in Eukaryota, Viridiplantae, Streptophyta, Magnoliopsida, Fabales, Fabaceae. The record is from the annotation of a GenBank genome assembly.